This 1305-nucleotide long non-coding RNA is filed under the name Homo sapiens (human). Its description in RNAcentral is "HSALNT0341437". Lineage: Eukaryota; Metazoa; Chordata; Mammalia; Primates; Hominidae. The record is from RNAcentral.
GCGGCGGCGUUAGAGUCACAUAGGAGCACGAACCCUAUUGUGAACUGCGCAUGCGAGGGAUCUAGGUUGUGCGCUCCUUGUGAGAAUCUAACGCAUCAUAAUCUGUCAUGUCUCCCAUCACCUUCAGAUGGGACUUUCUUGUUGCAAGAAAGCAAGCUCAGGGCUCCCACUGAUUCUACAUAAUGAUGGGACCUGUAUCUAGAUCCAGAAGGUUGAUAAGGGCAAAUGAAGGCUCUAUCUGACCACUAGUUUUUCCCUCAAAAGGAUCCACAUUUGUCACAAGAGCCACAGAAGGAUUCUUAGGUAGAAGACGGAGCCUCACUCUAUCUCCAGCGAUCUCGGCUCACUGCAACCUCCGCCUCCCAGGUUCAAGAGAUUCUCCUGCCUCAGCCUCAUGAGUAGCUGGGAUCACAGGCGCAUGCGACCAUGCCCAGCUAAUUUGUUUGUUUGUUUGUUUUUUUAGUAGAGACAGUGUUUCGCCAUGUUGGCCAGGAUGGUCUCAAUCUCUUGACCUCGUGAUCCGCCCGCCUCAGCCUCCCAAAGUGCUGGGUUUUACUUUCAAAAUAAAUCCAGGAUCCAACAGCUCUACACCUCUUUACCGUUACAGCCCUGAUGCAAACACUGCUGGCUGAUCUGGGGUUGCCGAUGUAGCCUGCUAAUUCAUGCCUUCUGCUUUUCCUGCCCCACUACUGUCUGUUUCAACACUGCAGCCAGAGUGAAACUGAUAUAGUGUUGUCAGAUCAAUACACACCAUCCUGCCCUAACCCCAGCACUCUGCCACUAGAAAUCAAACUCCUUCCCAUGAAAGCAGAGUCCCUGGGAAGUGGUGCCCAUGACUUACUGAUCUGGUGUCCCCAGCUGUAUCCCCCUCACUCACUCUUCACCAGCUAGCCUGGCCUCUGUAUUAAUCCUCAAACACAAGAGGCUGGCAUUUCCCCACCGCAGGAUGUAUGCACUGGCUGUCCCUCUGCUUGGAAACACCCACACAGCCUGCUCCCUCACAUCUUUUAUAUCUUCAUUCAAAUGUCACCUCUCAGGGAGGCCUCCCUGACCACACAGUUUAAUAUCACAAGCAUCCUCUGACACCUGAUUCUCCUUCUCUCCCUUUAUUUUCCCCUGAACCUGUCAUCGCCUUCUAGCAAAAUAGAUACUUUAUGUAUUGAUAUGGUCUAGGAUCUGCCUCUCCAUUAAAACACAAACUCCACAAAAAAAGGGAACUUGGUCUGUUUCAUUCAUUGCUUUGUCCUUUGUGCCAAGACAGUGCUAGGCAUAUAGGAGAUACUCAAUAAAUACUUGUCAAACGAA